UACGUAGGGGGCAAGCGUUAUCCGGAUUUACUGGGUGUAAAGGGAGCGCAGACGGCAGUGCAAGUCUGGAGUGAAAGCCCGGGGCCCAACCCCGGGACUGCUCUGGAAACUGUACGGCUGGAGUACGGGAGGGGCAGGCGGAAUUCCUAGUGUAGCGGUGAAAUGCGUAGAUAUUAGGAGGAACACCAGUGGCGAAGGCGGCUUACUGGACUGUAACUGACGUUGAGGCUCGAAAGCGUGGGGAGCAAACAGG
RNAcentral lists this ribosomal RNA (253 nucleotides) under uncultured bacterium. Its description in RNAcentral is "partial 16S ribosomal RNA". It matches the Rfam family "Bacterial small subunit ribosomal RNA", at positions 524 to 776 of the family's 1533-position model. The record is from RNAcentral.